RNAcentral lists this ribosomal RNA (227 nucleotides) under uncultured Sphingobacteriales bacterium. RNAcentral describes it as "partial 16S ribosomal RNA". It matches the Rfam family "Bacterial small subunit ribosomal RNA", at positions 1157 to 1382 of the family's 1533-position model. Lineage: Bacteria; Pseudomonadati; Bacteroidota; Sphingobacteriia; Sphingobacteriales. The record is from RNAcentral.
GUAAGGUGAGAGGAAGGUGGGGAAUGACGUCAAAUCAGCACGGCCCUUAUGUCCAGGGCUACACACGUGUUACAAUGGCCAGUACAAAGGGCAGCUACCGGGUGACCGGAUGCUAAUCUCUAAAGCUGGUCUCAGUUCGGAUCGAAGUCUGCAACCCGACUUCGUGAAGCUGGAUUCGCUAGUAAUCGCGGAUCAGCAUGUCGCGGUGAAUACGUUCCCGGGUCCUU